GACGAACGCUGGCGGCGUGCCUAAUACAUGCAAGUCGAACGCUGAAGGAGGAGCUUGCUUCUCUGGAUGAGUUGCGAACGGGUGAGUAACGCGUAGGUAACCUGCCUGGUAGCGGGGGAUAACUAUUGGAAACGAUAGCUAAUACCGCAUAAGAGUAGAUGUUGCAUGACAUUUGCUUAAAAGGUGCAAUUGCAUCACUACCAGAUGGACCUGCGUUGUAUUAGCUAGUUGGUGAGGUAACGGCUCACCAAGGCGACGAUACAUAGCCGACCUGAGAGGGGGAUCGGCCACACUGGGACUGAGACACGGCCCAGACUCCUACGGGAGGCAGCAGUAGGGAAUCUUCGGCAAUGGACGGAAGUCUGACCGAGCAACGCCGCGUGAGUGAAGAAGGUUUUCGGAUCGUAAAGCUCUGUUGUAAGAGAAGAACGAGUGUGAGAGUGGAAAGUUCACACUGUGACGGUAUCUUACCAGAAAGGGACGGCUAACUACGUG
Molecule: ribosomal RNA, 495 nt
Filed under: uncultured bacterium
Lineage: Bacteria
Description: partial 16S ribosomal RNA
Rfam family: Bacterial small subunit ribosomal RNA
Source: RNAcentral